This 409-nucleotide ribosomal RNA is filed under the name uncultured soil bacterium. RNAcentral describes it as "bacterial SSU rRNA". It matches the Rfam family "Bacterial small subunit ribosomal RNA", at positions 66 to 519 of the family's 1533-position model. The record is from RNAcentral.
ACGCUCGUAGCAAUACGGGAGUGGCAGACGGGUGAGUAACACGUGGGAACGUACCCUUCGGUUCGGGAUAACUCAGGGAAACUUGAGCUAAUACCGGAUACGUCCGAGAGGAGAAAGAUUUAUUGCCGAAGGAUCGGCCCGCGUCUGAUUAGCUAGUUGGUGAGGUAAUGGCUCACCAAGGCGACGAUCAGUAGCUGGUCUGAGAGGAUGAUCAGCCACAUUGGGACUGAGACACGGCCCAAACUCCUACGGGAGGCAGCAGUGGGGAAUAUUGGACAAUGGGCGCAAGCCUGAUCCAGCCAUGCCGCGUGAGUGAUGAAGGCCCUAGGGUUGUAAAGCUCUUUUACCUGGGAAGAUAAUGACUGUACCAGGAGAAUAAGCCCCGGCUAACUUCGUGCCAGCAGCCGCG